GUGCCAGCCGCCGCGGUAAGACGAACCGUGCGAACGUUAUUCGGAAUCACUGGGCUUAAAGGGUGCGUAGGCGGGCGUCCAAGUCAGGGGUGAAAUCCCACGGCUCAACCGUGGAAGUGCCUCUGAUACUGGGCGCCUCGAGGGGUGCAGGGGCGUGCGGAACUCAGGGUGGAGCGGUGAAAUGCGUAGAUAUCCUGAGGAACACCGGUGGCGAAAGCGGCGCGCUAGACACCUUCUGACGCUGAGGCACGAAAGCCAGGGGAGCAAACGGGAUUAGAAACCCGCGUAGUCC
This 292-nucleotide ribosomal RNA is filed under the name uncultured bacterium. Its description in RNAcentral is "partial 16S ribosomal RNA". It matches the Rfam family "Bacterial small subunit ribosomal RNA", at positions 505 to 796 of the family's 1533-position model. The record is from RNAcentral.